AUUGAACGCUAGCGGGAUGCUUUACACAUGCAAGUCGAACGGCAGCACGAAAAGAGCUUGCUCUUUUUGGUGGCGAGUGGCGAACGGGUGAGUAAUGUAUCGGAACGUACCCAGUAGCGGGGGAUAACUACGCGAAAGCGUGGCUAAUACCGCAUACGCCCUACGGGGGAAAGGGGGGGAUCGCAAGACCUCUCACUAUUGGAGCGGCCGAUAUCGGAUUAGCUAGUUGGUGGGGUAAAGGCUCACCAAGGCAACGAUCCGUAGCUGGUUUGAGAGGACGACCAGCCACACUGGGACUGAGACACGGCCCAGACUCCUACGGGAGGCAGCAGUGGGGAAUUUUGGACAAUGGGGGAAACCCUGAUCCAGCCAUCCCGCGUGUGCGAUGAAGGCCUUCGGGUUGUAAAGCACUUUUGUCAGGGAAGAAACGGCGCUGACUAAUACUUGGCGCAACUGACGGUACCUGCAGAAUAAGCACCGGCUAACUACGUG
Molecule: ribosomal RNA, 492 nt
Filed under: uncultured bacterium
Lineage: Bacteria
Description: partial 16S ribosomal RNA
Rfam family: Bacterial small subunit ribosomal RNA
Source: RNAcentral